This 406-nucleotide ribosomal RNA is filed under the name uncultured Fusibacter sp. RNAcentral's name for it is "bacterial SSU rRNA". It matches the Rfam family "Bacterial small subunit ribosomal RNA", at positions 355 to 776 of the family's 1533-position model. Lineage: Bacteria; Bacillati; Bacillota; Clostridia; Eubacteriales; Fusibacteraceae. The record is from RNAcentral.
UGGGGAAUAUUGCACAAUGGGCGCAAGCCUGAUGCAGCAACGCCGCGUGAGUGAUGAAGGCCUUCGGGUCGUAAAACUCUGUCCUAUGGGAAGAAACCAAUGACGGUACCAUAGGAGGAAGCCCCGGCUAACUACGUGCCAGCAGCCGCGGUAAUACGUAGGGGGCAAGCGUUAUCCGGAAUCACUGGGCGUAAAGGGUGCGUAGGCGGUCCAUCAAGCCAGGGGUGAAAGGCAUUGGCUCAACCAAUGUAAGCCUUUGGAACUGAAGGACUUGAGUGCAGGAGAGGUAAGUGGAAUUCCUAGUGUAGAGGUGAAAUUCGUAGAUAUUAGGAGGAACACCAGUGGCGAAGGCGACUUACUGGACUGUAACUGACGCUGAGGCACGAAAGCGUGGGGAGCGAACAGG